This 1062-nucleotide ribosomal RNA is filed under the name Lactobacillus delbrueckii subsp. bulgaricus. RNAcentral describes it as "bacterial SSU rRNA". It matches the Rfam family "Bacterial small subunit ribosomal RNA", at positions 76 to 1125 of the family's 1533-position model. The record is from RNAcentral. Lineage: Bacteria; Bacillati; Bacillota; Bacilli; Lactobacillales; Lactobacillaceae.
UGAUUUGUUGGACGCUAGCGGCGGAUGGGUGAGUAACACGUGGGCAAUCUGCCCUAAAGACUGGGAUACCACUUGGAAACAGGUGCUAAUACCGGAUAACAACAUGAAUCGCAUGAUUCAAGUUUGAAAGGCGGCGUAAGCUGUCACUUUAGGAUGAGCCCGCGGCGCAUUAGCUAGUUGGUGGGGUAAAGGCCUACCAAGGCAAUGAUGCGUAGCCGAGUUGAGAGACUGAUCGGCCACAUUGGGACUGAGACACGGCCCAAACUCCUACGGGAGGCAGCAGUAGGGAAUCUUCCACAAUGGACGCAAGUCUGAUGGAGCAACGCCGCGUGAGUGAAGAAGGUUUUCGGAUCGUAAAGCUCUGUUGUUGGUGAAGAAGGAUAGAGGCAGUAACUGGUCUUUAUUUGACGGUAAUCAACCAGAAAGUCACGGCUAACUACGUGCCAGCAGCCGCGGUAAUACGUAGGUGGCAAGCGUUGUCCGGAUUUAUUGGGCGUAAAGCGAGCGCAGGCGGAAUGAUAAGUCUGAUGUGAAAGCCCACGGCUCAACCGUGGAACUGCAUCGGAAACUGUCAUUCUUGAGUGCAGAAGAGGAGAGUGGAAUUCCAUGUGUAGCGGUGGAAUGCGUAGAUAUAUGGAAGAACACCAGUGGCGAAGGCGGCUCUCUGGUCUGCAACUGACGCUGAGGCUCGAAAGCAUGGGUAGCGAACAGGAUUAGAUACCCUGGUAGUCCAUGCCGUAAACGAUGAGCGCUAGGUGUUGGGGACUUUCCGGUCCUCAGUGCCGCAGCAAACGCAUUAAGCGCUCCGCCUGGGGAGUACGACCGCAAGGUUGAAACUCAAAGGAAUUGACGGGGGCCCGCACAAGCGGUGGAGCAUGUGGUUUAAUUCGAAGCAACGCGAAGAACCUUACCAGGUCUUGACAUCCUGCGCUACACCUAGAGAUAGGUGGUUCCCUUCGGGGACGCAGAGACAGGUGGUGCAUGGCUGUCGUCAGCUCGUGUCGUGAGAUGUUGGGUUAAGUCCCGCAACGAGCGCAACCCUUGUCUUUAGUUGCCAUCAUU